Molecule: long non-coding RNA, 215 nt
Filed under: Daucus carota (carrot)
Lineage: Eukaryota; Viridiplantae; Streptophyta; Magnoliopsida; Apiales; Apiaceae
Description: long non-coding RNA (DCAR_LNC006980)
Source: RNAcentral
UCUAUUUCCUUGUCAAUAAUGGUGUCAACAAACAGAUGAAUCUCCUCUUCAUUUUCACAGCCAUUUACAAGAUCAAUUAAUUCUUUAUCUCGUGUCAAAAGCUUCCAACCUGCACCAUCAUCUUGGAUAUAUACUCCUCCAAUUUCUGACAAAUGAAGGUAAUCCUUGACAUAUUCCAUAAGCACCGUAUAUGAAAAUUCUGCAGAAUCCACAGC